AGUGAACGCUGGCGGUAGGCCUAACACAUGCAAGUCGAACGGCAGCACAGUAAGAGCUUGCUCUUACGGGUGGCGAGUGGCGGACGGGUGAGGAAUACAUCGGAAUCUACUUUUUCGUGGGGGAUAACGUAGGGAAACUUACGCUAAUACCGCAUACGACCUACGGUUGAAAGCAGGGGAUCUUCGGACCUUGCGCGAUUGAAUGAGCCGAUGUCGGAUUAGCUAGUUGGCUGGGUAAAGGCCCACCAAGGCGACGAUCCGUAGCUGGACUGAGAGGAUGAUCAGCGCACAUAGAAGUGAAACACGGUCCAGGCGCCUACGGGAGGCAGCAGUGGGGAAUAUUGGACAAUGGGCGCGAACCUGAUCCAGCCAUACCGCGUGGGAGAAGAAGACCUUCGGGUUGUAAAGCCCUUUUGUUGGGAGAGAAAAGCAGCAGGUUAAUACCCCGCUGUUCUGACGGUACCCAAAGAAUAAGCACCGGCUAACUUCGUG
RNAcentral lists this ribosomal RNA (492 nucleotides) under uncultured bacterium. Its description in RNAcentral is "partial 16S ribosomal RNA". It matches the Rfam family "Bacterial small subunit ribosomal RNA", at positions 29 to 507 of the family's 1533-position model. The record is from RNAcentral.